CCAGCCUCAGCUCCCUGCAGCAGCAAGUGCUCUCUCUCUUGCUCCAAGACCUUUUCAUUUGUUCAGGCAAAGCCAGCCAGUUUGCACAGUUCCUCUAGAGAUGCUGUGAGGAUUUGCAAGGAUGGAAAGCGAGGAGCUGCUCACUGCUGGCCCAUCUGGCCCGUGGUCACCCCAGUGCUCCCAGCACUGAGGGGCCUCAGGCCUGCUGGUUUCCGAGGCAGGGCCCUCUGGGCUCCUUGAGGAACGGGCCCAGCUCUCCACAGACACCUGUGCCUCGUCACACGGUGCUCUGUCCCUCACACCAGGCCUGGCUGCCCCUCUUAGCAUUCCUAAACCCCCCAAAUCUUUUCAAGUGUAUUUUUACUACAGAACACAGAGCAAAGGCCGGUGUCUGCAGCCGGGCUGCCAGCAGGGACACAGGGGCACAGCGUGCGGCACUGCUGGGGGAUUUUCCCACACGGCUCUCUCUGGAUAUUUCCUUUCUGAGCUGCACAAACCAGUUGGUUCACAGGGAAGCACACUGAAAUCACAACUGAUGGGGAAACUCCCCUCCAAGUGCGCUCACACGCUGCCCGUAAUCUCACACGUCCCCUUGGCAGCCAGACAGAGACUUUUCAACGUGUCUUUCAUGCACUUAUUUACUUUAAUUAGGGACUACGUGGCCGAAUGUGAAAGCAGGAAUUAGAGUGCAAUCCCCAAAUGAGAAGUCAGCCCCCCGGGGCUCUCCCCUGUCUCUGGGGUUUAUCCCAUCCCACCCUGCCUUUGCUGGGAAGGGCUCCUGGAAGGGGUCCCAGAGGGGUCCCAGCUGUGCCCCAUCCCUGCCAGCUCCACAGCGUUUCCCACACUGUUCCUGAGGAUCCAUGGCUCCGAGGGACAGACGGAACACCCCAAGAUUGGCUGAACAAAGGGAAGCUCACUGAAGUGUGGGAUGUACUGUAGAGCUGAUCCUUUCUAGAGCCAGGAUGGUGCUGGGAGACCCUGGAGAUCUCCCAUUCUCCCAGAAACAGCAAGCCUCUGCAGGUCUUGGGCACCCCUGAGCUGGAAUUUCUGUGAAAUGAUCUUGUGGAGCCCUGAGACAGAAUCCCAGAAUUGGUAAGGUUGGAAAUGGCCUUCAAGAUCAUCAGCUCCAAUUGUCAGCUCAGCCCCAGCACGUCCUCCUUGAGGUCCUGCAGUGGAACAAAGCCCAAAUCCCAGCUCUGCUCAGCCCAGCCGUUCCUCUGGCCCUGCAGCACCUUCCCAGCAGCAAUAAAAUGUGA
Long non-coding RNA from Cyanistes caeruleus (blue tit), 1256 nucleotides. RefSeq lists it as uncharacterized. The record is from RefSeq and is a predicted model, not a curated record. NCBI's taxonomy places the organism in Eukaryota, Metazoa, Chordata, Aves, Passeriformes, Paridae.